GUUGAACGCUGGCGGAAUGCUUUACACAUGCAAGUCGAACGGCAGCACGGACUUCGGUCUGGUGGCGAGUGGCGAACGGGUGAGUAAUAUAUCGGAACGUGCCCAGUCGUGGGGGAUAACGUAGCGAAAGCUACGCUAAUACCGCAUACGAUCUACGGAUGAAAGCGGGGGAUCGCAAGACCUCGCGCGAUUGGAGCGGCCGAUAUCAGACUAGGUAGUUGGUGAGGUAAAGGCUCACCAAGCCGACGAUCUGUAGCUGGUCUGAGAGGACGACCAGCCACACUGGGACUGAGACACGGCCCAGACUCCUACGGGAGGCAGCAGUGGGGAAUUUUGGACAAUGGACGCAAGUCUGAUCCAGCCAUUCCGCGUGCAGGACGAAGGCCUUCGGGUUGUAAACUGCUUUUGUACAGAACGAAAAGGUCUCUAUUAAUACUAGGGGCUCAUGACGGUACUGUAAGAAUAAGCACCGGCUAACUACGUGCCAGCCGCCGCAGUAA
This 500-nucleotide ribosomal RNA is filed under the name uncultured bacterium. Its description in RNAcentral is "partial 16S ribosomal RNA". It matches the Rfam family "Bacterial small subunit ribosomal RNA", at positions 28 to 523 of the family's 1533-position model. The record is from RNAcentral.